UACGUAGGUGGCAAGCGUUAUCCGGAAUUAUUGGGCGUAAAGCGCGCGCAGGCGGUUUCUUAAGUCUGAUGUGAAAGCCCACGGCUCAACCGUGGAGGGUCAUUGGAAACUGGGGAAGCUUGAGUGCAGAAGAGAAAAGCGGAAUUCCACGUGUAGCGGUGAAAUGCGUAGAGAUGUGGAGGAACACCAGUGGCGAAGGCGGCUUUUGGUCUGUAACUGACGCUGGAGGCGCGAAAGCGUGGGGAGCAAACAGG
RNAcentral lists this ribosomal RNA (254 nucleotides) under uncultured bacterium. RNAcentral describes it as "partial 16S ribosomal RNA". It matches the Rfam family "Bacterial small subunit ribosomal RNA", at positions 524 to 776 of the family's 1533-position model. The record is from RNAcentral.